UUUGAGCCGUGGAGCGCUCCAUGUUGUACGGUAGCUCAUCGGGUCCAGUCCAGCCCCUCUCCCUAAAUGGAACAAUGGUCUACCCGACCGCCUGAGGGAACAGAACAGUGCCCGGAUGUACAGCGCGUCCAAGGGCAUCCCCCCCCAUAGGCGGCCUGGGACCGCCCCCACCCAUAAUGGAAUGGAACAGUCCGCCCCUCUCCCUCAAGGUGCAACAGAGCAGCCCCGACUCCUCUCCCGUGGGACGGGACGGUCUAGCAUGGGUCUCAGGCCUCUGAUUGGCGGAACGGGAUUACGUGACGUAAGAAAGACGAAGGCACUUUCCGUACGGGAAAAUGGCCGCUCCCAUGUGCGGUAACGUAAGGGCUGUACAAGAAGACGGCGGGUCGCGUCUUGUCUCGUUCGCUCAUUGGCUCGGCGUAUGCGACGCUCUUGUCGCGGCUCCAGACCCAGAGGCAGACCCUCGCUCUGAUUGGGCCGCAGCUCCGUAACCUAUCGCCGUACGCUAUCAUGGCGGCGCCCGCUGGUAACAAAGGGCCACUUCCGGUCCUGCGCACUACGGGGAGGAGGGGAACUCGGUUUUUCCGGUGCUGGGCUUCGGAGGAGGAACCAGGAGGAGGGCAGUGCCCCCUGGGACUGAGAGACCGCCUGCACUGUGGGGGUUACUCCCCGUGGGCCCCCCCUCCGGGAUGUGCCCUGCCCUCAGGCCCCCCCUGCAGCUCUGAUCCCCAACCCAGGCAGUGACCUACCCCCAUGGCUGCCACAGUGGAGAGCAACAUCAUCAUCUUGGACGAUGAGGAGGAGGGGCUGCCACCACCUAUGCCCAGGGAGCCCCCAGGGCCCGCCUCUGCCUCCCCCCAGCUCAGUGGGACCCCCACCAAGAAACCAGAUCCCCUGGCCCAGCAUGGUGGCAGCUUCAAGACUGAGAAUGAACGGCUCUUUGCAGAGUUCCUGGAGUGCUGUAGCCGGCUGACGGAGGAGCACCCUGAGGUGAUCCCAUUCCUGGCCAGCCGGCACCAGAAGGCCGGUGCCGAGUUCCUGGCCUCAGCUGAGUUUCGCAACGUGCUGGGGCGCUGCCUGACCCGUGUGCAGAGCAAGCGCAGCAAAGUCUACGUCUACAUCAACGAGCUGUGCACCGUGCUCAAGGCCCACACGCAGCGCCGCAAGCUGGCGCUCAGCUCAGCCCCAGCCCCCACUGCCCCCCACCAGCCGGAGCCCGCAGCGCCCGAGGCGGAGCGGGAGGGGACGUCGGGACAGCGCGGCACUGGCUCCAAGCGGCAAAUCCGCUACCUGGAGAACCUGCUGCGUGUCUACAUGGGGGAGAUCCGGCGGCUGCAGGAGCGGGAGCUGGACCUGGCUGAGCUGGACAACGAGGACUCCACCUACCUGCAGGAGAGCCGGCUCAAGCGCAAGAUGAUGCACAUCUUUGAGCGGCUGUGCCAGCUCAAGCAGUGCAGCAGCCUGACGGGCCGGGUGAUCGAGCAGCGCAUCCCCUACCGGGGCACCCGCUACCCGGAGGUCAACCGGCGCAUCGAGCGCUUCAUCAACCGGCCCGACGUCUUCCCCGACUACACCGACAUCCUCAAGGUGAUCCAGAAGGCCAGUGCCCGCCACAGCCUGGGCCUGGCCAAGCGCCAGAUGCAGAGCAUGGCAUUGGAUGCCUUCCGCGAGGUGGGCAACCGCCUGCAGGAGCGGCGCCACCUCGACCUGGUCUACAACUUCGGUAGCCACCUCACCGACCAGUACCGGCCUGACACUGACCCUGCCCGAAGGGACUCUGCACUGGCCCGGCGGCUGCGGGAGAACCGCGAGGUGGCGCUGACGCGGCUGGACAGUGUCGUCUCGCGCUAUGCCCAGCUGCAGGACGAGAGCGAGGAGGAGGAGCGUGUCCGCAAGAGAGCUGCCCAAGCCCGUGGCAGCGCCAUCCCCCGGCAGGAGGGGCUGCUGCCCCCACCCUGCCCCAUGGCGCCAGACCCAGGGGAGGGGCAGCCCCAACCGCAGGGCAGCCCCAGCACAAGCGCCACAAGCCAAGGGGCACUUGCGGUCAGUGAGGAGGAUGACGAUGACUCGGAGGAGGAAGAGCCCUCAUCAGACACAGACAUUGAGGAGGAGCUGCAGCAGAGCCAAGAAGGUGGGGAGGAGGAAGAAGAGGAUGCAGCCAUGCAAGAUGCAGAAGCAGCAGGUGAGGACACGGCAGGGGACCAGGAGGACCAGUGCAUGGAGUUGGGCCUGGAGCCGGGCCUGGAGCCACUGCCAUGCUCGUCAGGCGGGGAGGAUCUGGAGGACGAGGAUGAGGACGAUGAGGAGGACGAAGAAGAGGAUGAAGAUGAGGAGCCCCUGCCCCUUGCAGAGGGCCAGGGGCCCCCGUCCCCCAAGGAGGAGGAGGGGCCACCAUUCAGCCCGGUGCAGGAGCUGUUUGUGCUGGAGAUUGAGGCGCUGCCCCUGGAACUCAGCGAAACACCACCCCCCUCCCCUCAACUCCCAGGGGGCUCUGAGGCCACCCCAAAGGCUGCCCCCUUGUCCCCAGAGCCCUCUGAGGCCACCCCACUGGGCCCCGCCUCCCCUGAGACGGUCUUUUCACGGACUGAGCAGGAGGUCUCCCUGAAGGAGCCUGCUAGUUUCGCGGUGAAGCAGGAGGGAGGUGGCAUGGGGGACUCCGGGCUCCGGACUCAACCCCCUGCCAAGAGAAGGCAGCUGUCUGUCCCCAGGAGCCCCCUUGCCCGGCCCUUGGAGAACGGGGGCAGCAUGAUCAGCUCCACCAGCUUCAACGGCAGCGCUGGGCCCCCAGCCUGCAAGAGGGGACGCCAGGAGCUGCCCUGUGGCAACAGGUGGGGGCAAGGGGAGACAGGCCAGGCCAGGCAGUGUGUGAGGUGGGGGGAGCUGUGUGUGACAGCAGCUGCCUGGAGGUUCACAGCAUCGGCUCAGAGGAUGAGGACUUGGAGCUGCCGCUAGAUGGCCUGCUGCCCCGCAGCCCCCUGCCUGACUCCACCCGUGCCGAUUCGCCCUUCCAGAGCUUGGUCAGCAGCUCCCAGGGCAGCCCGCAGCUGUGCCAGCGCCUCUUGCCCAAGGCCUGCAAGACCAGCGUGGCGACUCAGUGUGACCCGGAGGAGAUCAUCGUUCUGUCGGACUCGGAUUAGACCCCCUGCCUGCCCAGGGGGGCUGGAGACUCUGGGGGGCAGGGAGGGUGACAGGGUUGGUUUGUGGCUGGUUCUGGGGUGGG
Chrysemys picta bellii (western painted turtle) is the source of this 3220-nucleotide non-coding RNA. Lineage: Eukaryota; Metazoa; Chordata; Testudines; Emydidae. The record is from RefSeq and is a predicted model, not a curated record.